Molecule: ribosomal RNA, 695 nt
Filed under: uncultured bacterium
Lineage: Bacteria
Description: bacterial SSU rRNA
Rfam family: Bacterial small subunit ribosomal RNA
Source: RNAcentral
GGGACAACAGUUGGAAACGACUGCUAAUACCGCAUAAGCCCACGGAUCCGCAUGGAUCUGCGGGAAAAGGAUUUAUUCGCUCUAGGAUGGACUCGCGUCCAAUUAGCUAGUUGGUGAGGUAACGGCCCACCAAGGCGACGAUUGGUAGCCGGACUGAGAGGUUGAACGGCCACAUUGGGACUGAGACACGGCCCAGACUCCUACGGGAGGCAGCAGUGGGGGAUAUUGCACAAUGGGGGAAACCCUGAUGCAGCGACGCCGCGUGGAGGAAGAAGGUUUUCGGAUUGUAAACUCCUGUCGUUAGGGACGAUAAUGACGGUACCUAACAAGAAAGCACCGGCUAACUACGUGCCAGCAGCCGCGGUAAAACGUAGGGUGCAAGCGUUGUCCGGAAUUACUGGGUGUAAAGGGAGCGCAGGCGGACCGGCAAGUUGGAAGUGAAAACUAUGGGCUCAACCCAUAAAUUGCUUUCAAAACUGCUGGCCUUGAGUAGUGCAGAGGUAGGUGGAAUUCCCGGUGUAGCGGUGGAAUGCGUAGAUAUCGGGAGGAACACCAGUGGCGAAGGCGACCUACUGGGCACCAACUGACGCUGAGGCUCGAAAGCAUGGGUAGCAAACAGGAUUAGAUACCCUGGUAGUCCAUGCCGUAAACGAUGAAUACUGGGUGUUGGAGGAUUGACCCCUUCAGUGCCGCAG